AUUAUGAUGAAAUAUUUUAUUAUUUCUAUUGUUUUCGUGCUCGCGCGCGGGAAAAUUAGCACCACGCAGUACUUUCGCGCCAUUUUUCUUGUUAUGACAUGUGACUGUAUUCGAAGCGAAAGAGCGCUAAUCAAUUAAGUACGGCUCAUGAAAAGCACGCCUGUCUAAAUCAAAAUUAAAAGUUCGCCUAUUUUACUCGAGUAAAAUAUGAAUUAAGUUCGGC
Molecule: non-coding RNA, 223 nt
Organism: Paramuricea clavata
Lineage: Eukaryota; Metazoa; Cnidaria; Anthozoa; Malacalcyonacea; Plexauridae
Source: the annotation of a GenBank genome assembly